GUAUCAUGGCUCAGGAUGAACGCUAGCGGCAGGCUUAACACAUGCAAGUCGAGGGGCAGCGGGGUGUAGCAAUACACUGCCGGCGACCGGCGCACGGGUGCGUAACGCGUAUGCAACCUACCCAUAACAGGGGCAUAACACUGAGAAAUUGGUACUAAUUCCCCAUAACAUUCGAAGAGGCAUCUCUUUGGGUUGAAAACUCCGGUGGUUAUGGAUGGGCGAAUGCGUUGUAUUAGCUAGUUGG
This 244-nucleotide ribosomal RNA is filed under the name uncultured bacterium. RNAcentral's name for it is "partial 16S ribosomal RNA". It matches the Rfam family "Bacterial small subunit ribosomal RNA", at positions 14 to 252 of the family's 1533-position model. The record is from RNAcentral.